UGUAAGUUGUGUGUAUUAAGUAAUAUUUUUUUUAUUCUUAUUAUGUUGGUUAUAUGUUUUUAUUUUAUUUUUAAACUUGUUGCUUUUACCGGACCAUUAAAACAAAUACAUGAAGACUUGUAGAAAUACCUAUAAAAUGAGUGACAAUUAGUAUUUGGGUCUUAAAGCGAAUAUAUGUAUUUCUCAUAAGAAGACAAUAUCAUUGGCCUGUUGACAUUAAACAUGUAAGCUAUUUUCAUAAGACAAGAGGAGUGAGCAGGUGGAGAUGUUGUUGCCGCCUUUGUAUCUGUUGGGAUUGACUCUUGUAUCUUCUGGUGUGUCUGUGUUUGUUUUUCUUUUAUUUGAUGUGUAAUAUGUAAACAAAAAUCAUUGUUAGUUGUAUUUAUCACAGUUUGUAACUUACUAUGUUUUUUUGUUUAGGUAAUUUCACUGAUCUUGGUUGUCGUCUUCGUCUUCUUCGUAAGCAUCUGUGAAAGUAAGUUUGUAAAUUGUUAAAUAGCUGGCCCUGUAGUUUGUAUUUGUUUAGCUGGUUCAAUGUAUGUGUCGUUGAGUUUUAGUUGAAUUGAUUGGUUUGUUAUAUUUGUUUUGAAGUUUAUUUGUAAGAUUAGACAAAAAGAGAUGUGGUCAUUAAUGAUUCGUCUUUUUUGGGAUUCUAGUUUUUGGUGUUUUGAUUGUUUGGGUUAUUGUGAUUUCUUUUAAGCUGUAAAAUAAAGAUUUGUGUAAAAUUAGAUUGAUAAGUAAGGGAGAUAAAUAUACGACCACAAAUCUUGGGUAGGAAAUAUUUUUGAUUAUUGAUGUUAGCACAAUAUAGACAGUAAUAUAUAGAGAAUUAUGUGUUGAUUAUUUCUUACGGAUCAAUGAAGAGACGGAUAACGACUCGACUUGUUUCUUUGGAGAGGUCAGAGCCCUGGACAGAACGGAUUUGCCCAACCACAUCUGCGAGUUUCGGAUUUGCCCAACCACAUCUGCGAGUUUAAAUAUCAGUUAUGAUAUCAAAACAUAAUAUAAACCUUGAUGCAAUAUGAUAAUAUACCUGGGAGUUCUAGGUUUGUGUUCGCAAUCACUUGGAGAUUUCGAACAGUCUAAUCUUUACUGGAGAUUGAUCUCAGGAGCACCCGUGAUGACUUCAUCAAUAAUG
RNAcentral lists this long non-coding RNA (1138 nucleotides) under Brassica napus (rape). Its description in RNAcentral is "long non-coding RNA (BNAP_LNC009386)". Lineage: Eukaryota; Viridiplantae; Streptophyta; Magnoliopsida; Brassicales; Brassicaceae. The record is from RNAcentral.